AACGAACGCUGGCGGCAGGCUUAACACAUGCAAGUCGAGCGAGACCUUCGGGUCUAGCGGCGGACGGGUGAGUAACGCGUGGGAACGUGCCCUUCUCUACGGAAUAGCCCCGGGAAACUGGGAGUAAUACCGUAUACGCCCUUUGGGGGAAAGAUUUAUCGGAGAAGGAUCGGCCCGCGUUGGAUUAGGUAGUUGGUGGGGUAAUGGCCCACCAAGCCGACGAUCCAUAGCUGGGUUGAGAGGAUGAUCAGCCACACUGGGACUGAGACACGGCCCAGACUCCUACGGGAGGCAGCAGUGGGGAAUCGUAGACAAUGGGGGCAACCCUGAUCUAGCCAUGCCGCGUGAGUGAUGAAGGCCUUAGGGUUGUAAAGCUCUUUCAGCUGGGAAGAUAAUGACGGUACCAGAAGAAGAAGCCCCGGCUAACUCCGUG
Molecule: ribosomal RNA, 433 nt
Filed under: uncultured bacterium
Lineage: Bacteria
Description: partial 16S ribosomal RNA
Rfam family: Bacterial small subunit ribosomal RNA
Source: RNAcentral